Molecule: ribosomal RNA, 301 nt
Filed under: uncultured bacterium
Lineage: Bacteria
Description: partial 16S ribosomal RNA
Rfam family: Bacterial small subunit ribosomal RNA
Source: RNAcentral
CAGUAGCCACGGUAAUACGUAGGUGGCAAGCGUUGUCCGGAAUUAUUGGGCGUAAAGGGCUCGCAGGCGGUUUCUUAAGUCUGAUGUGGAAGCCCCCGGCUCAACCGGGGAGGGUCAUUGGAAACUGGGAAACUUGAGUGCAGAAGAGGAGAGUGGAAUUCCACGUGUAGCGGUGAAAUGCGUAGAGAUGUGGAGGAACACCAGUGGCGAAGGCGACUCUCUGGUCUGUAACUGACGCUGAGGAGCGAAAGCGUGGGGAGCGAACAGGAUUAGAUACCCCGGUAGUCCCUGUCUCUUAUAC